This 503-nucleotide long non-coding RNA is filed under the name Equus asinus (donkey). RNAcentral describes it as "lncRNA (ENSEASG00005032711.1)". The record is from RNAcentral. Lineage: Eukaryota; Metazoa; Chordata; Mammalia; Perissodactyla; Equidae.
UGGCCAGGGGCAGGGCAGCCAGUGCCCUCCAGCUAAGCCUGCCAGCGUCCCAUCCCUGCCUGCCCCUGCCGGGCCCCCAAGCUUCAGGAAGGAAGGUACGACCCUGCAUCCAGCUGAAGGACAGGCAGCUGGCCUCCGAGGACAGAGCAGGACAGGCCUCAGCUUCAUUAUAGAUCGUCUUCCUGGCUGUCCUCUGGAUUUGAUCUUUGCUUCAAAGCCAUUUUUUAAUGUUAGUCUUGUUUGCCAUCUGGAAAGGCUGAGAAUAAUUGAGACCAAAGCAGCAGGAAGCCAGAGGUGCCGUCAGCGCUCUGCCUGGAAAUCUUUACCUAGAUCACCCCGUCCACCAGUCACACUUUCUAUUUCCCACCACCACACCGCAUGCAACAGUACUGCUACUUCCUGUCACUACAGAGCAAGGGUCUGCUUUGGUGCAGUUCCCAGUAUUCCCACACCUUCCCACCAACCCUCACUGGAAGUCUCCUCAAAGCCCCAAGGCACCAGCU